Molecule: ribosomal RNA, 253 nt
Filed under: uncultured bacterium
Lineage: Bacteria
Description: partial 16S ribosomal RNA
Rfam family: Bacterial small subunit ribosomal RNA
Source: RNAcentral
GACGUAGGAUGCAAGCGUUGUCCGGAUUUAUUGGGCGUAAAGAGUUCGUAGGCGGUUCGUUAAGUCUGGUGUUAAAGACUGGGGCUCAACCCUGGAAGUGCACUGGAUACUGGCGGACUGGAGUGCAGUAGAGGCAAGCGGAAUUCCAGGUGUAGCGGUGAAAUGCGUAGAUAUCUGGAAGAACACCGGUGGCGCAAGCGGCUUGCUGGGCUGUAACUGACGCUGAGGAACGAAAGCUAGGGGAGCGAAUGGG